Molecule: long non-coding RNA, 623 nt
Organism: Homo sapiens (human)
Lineage: Eukaryota; Metazoa; Chordata; Mammalia; Primates; Hominidae
Exons: 4
Source: RefSeq, a predicted model, not a curated record
AAUGGCCCUGCAGGAGGCAUUCAGUAAUGGGCUACUUGGGCUAGACCCUCUCAGCUAAAGGCUAGGCCUAGUCUAGUAAAAAAUGCAAAAGGAAAUAGAGGCAAUUUUCCAAGUAAUUCAGGAGAAAAGCACUUUCAUCUCAACUCUCAAGGGCUUGCUACGUAGGCCAGAACUACACCAACACGCUUUGAUGCUGAAGCAGAAUUUGGUACAAGGUGGCUGUAAGUCAGAUCUCCUGCUAAUUGUGUGAAACUGUUUAUGUUGAUUCAUCUAAGCAGCUGGUCUUUUGAGAGAGAUGCAACAGACCAAAGAACAAAGACAGAAGCUUGAGAAGCCAUGUUAGGACUUGUUGCACAGCAUGGUGACUGCUAUGGAACAUUGGUAUGGAGUUUCAGGAGAAAUAAGGGUGAUAGGAUCCAGCUCCCCCCAGCAGAGUUCUUGGAUGUCAAGUCCUGAUAAAUCCCCGCCGCCUCCUGGGUCCAAGCUCGGGUACCACUAACUUGUCCCAAGAGAGUGGGGAGUGAGACCUGUAAGUCAACUAAUAUAAGAUCUCUCAGGAUUUUCUAGCAAUACAACCAUGUGAUCUCUGAAUAAAGACAGUGUGUGUGUGUAUACUGCAUAUA